RNAcentral lists this ribosomal RNA (380 nucleotides) under uncultured eukaryote. Its description in RNAcentral is "partial 18S ribosomal RNA". It matches the Rfam family "Eukaryotic small subunit ribosomal RNA", at positions 592 to 976 of the family's 1831-position model. The record is from RNAcentral.
CAAUAGCGUAUAUUAAAGUUGUUGCGGUUAAAAAGCUCGUAGUUGGAUUUCUGCUGAGAACGACCGGUCCGCCCUCUGGGUGUGUAUCUGGCUCUUUCUUGGCAUCUUCUUGGUGAACGUUGCUGCACUUGACUGUGUGGAGCGCUACCCAGGACUUUUACUUUGAGGAAAUUAGAGUGUUUCAAGCAGGCAUACGCCUUGAAUACAUUAGCAUGGAAUAAUAAGAUAGGACCUCGGUUCUAUUUUGUUGGUUUCUAGAGCUGAGGUAAUGAUUAAUAGGGAUAGUUGGGGGCAUUCGUAUUUAACUGUCAGAGGUGAAAUUCUUGGAUUUGUUAAAGACGGGCUACUGCGAAAGCAUUUGCCAAGGAUGUUUUCUUUAA